GGGUUGUGAGGUUAAGCGACUAAGCGUACACGGUGGAUGCCCUGGCAGUCAGAGGCGAUGAAGGACGUGCUAAUCUGCGAAAAGCGUCGGUAAGGUGAUAUGAACCGUUACAGCCGGCGAUGUCCGAAUGGGGAAACCCAGUGCAAUUCGUUGCACUAUCGUUAACUGAAUACAUAGGUUAACGAGGCGAACCGGGGGAACUGAAACAUCUAAGUACCCCGAGGAAAAGAAAUCAACCGAGAUUCCCCCAGUAGCGGCGAGCGAACGGGGAGCAGCCCAGAGUCUGAAUCAGCUUGUGUGUUAGUGGAACGGUCUGGAAAGUCCGACGGUACAGGGUGAUAGUCCCGUACACCAAAAUGCACAGGUUGUGAACUCGAAGAGUAGGGCGGGACACGUGGUAUCCUGUCUGAAUAUGGGGGGACCAUCCUCCAAGGCUAAAUACUCCUGACUGACCGAUAGUGAACCAGUACCGUGAGGGAAAGGCGAAAAGAAC
This 493-nucleotide ribosomal RNA is filed under the name Klebsiella pneumoniae. RNAcentral describes it as "partial 23S ribosomal RNA". It matches the Rfam family "Bacterial large subunit ribosomal RNA", at positions 1 to 524 of the family's 2925-position model. Lineage: Bacteria; Pseudomonadati; Pseudomonadota; Gammaproteobacteria; Enterobacterales; Enterobacteriaceae. The record is from RNAcentral.